UAGGCUGUCAGGAGCUUAUUCUUGCAGUUCAUUGUUGAUCUAGUUCAGCGUUUUAGCUGCACGUAAUUAUAUCUUGUAGAAGCACCAUCACCUUAACCCGUUUUGCUGGUAUGUAGCUCAGUGGUAGACAGCUUGUGUGAGAAAGGCCCUGUUUUUUUCUUUCUUUUCCUUUUUCCUUUUUUGGUGCUGGGGAUUAAUUUAGGGCCUUGUGCAUGCCUGGCAAGCACUCUACCUGCUGAGCCCAAGGCCCUGGUUUUGAUUUCUAACACUUCAAAAAAAUAACACACAAAAUUUAGGUCCCCUGUGGUACCCCCCACCCCCAAGCAGUAGUAGCAGGGUGUCUGGCAUCUGGUGGGAAUGCAUCAUCUGUGUGAAGAGUGUGUGUUGGAGUACAUGCCUGUAAUCUCAGUGGCCGAGGAGGCUGAGACAGGAGGAGUUCAAAGUCAGCUUCAGCAAAAAAAAAAAAAAAAAAAAAAACAGGUGCUAAGCAACUCAGUGAGACCCUGUCUCUAAAUAAAAUAUAAAACAGGGAUGGGGAUGUGGCUCAGUGGCCAAGUGCACCUGAGUUCAAUUCCCGGUACCAAAUAAAAGAGUGAAUGUUGGGAGGCUAGGCUGUAGUAGCAUGGUGUCAAAGCAAUUGCUUACCUUGUGUUAGGCACUGGGUUUGAUCCUUAGAACCACCUUUAAAAAAAAAAAAAAAACCAAGGCAUCUUGUCCAUCUGCAACUACAAAAAUAAAAAAAAAAAAUGAAUGCUUGAAGACAGAUAAGACUUGGAAUGUAGUAAUCUCAGUAAAUCCUUCAUAUGAUUUGGUUAAAAGUAAAAGAAAGGCCAACAAUUAGGUGGAAAAAUGAGCAAGGAUGUUGAUAAGCAGGUCUUGGGAAACAAAGCUGUAGAUGGUUCUUGAACCUCAAAGGUACUUAACUGUACAGCCUGGUGGUGCAGCCAGCAAUUCCUGUGACUCAGGAAGUUGAAGCAGGAGGAUCCCAAGUUCAGGUCAGCUUGGGCAACCGAGUGAACCCCUCAGCAAGUCAGAAGACCCUGACUCAAAAAGUGGGGGUUGGGCUGGGAUUGUGGCUCAAUGGUGGAGCACUUGCCUGGCAUAUAUGAGGCCCUGGGUUCCAUCCUCAACACUCCAUACAAAUAAAUGAGUGAAUGAAUGAAUGAACAAAUAAGAAAAUAAAAGAUUAACAACUAAAAAACAUUUAAAAAUAAAGUGGGGGGUGGCUGGGGCUCGGGGCAUACGCGUGUAAUCCCAAUGGCUUGGGAGACUGAGGCAGGAGGAUCUUGAGUUCAAAGCCAGCCUCAGCAAAAGGGAGGUGCCAAGCAACUCGGUGAGACCCUGUCUCUAAUAAAAUAUAUAUAUAUAUAAAAAAAAGGCUGCAGGGGCUGGGUUGUGUGUCAGGGGUAAGGUCCUUGCCUAGCAUGCGUGAAGCACUGGGUUCGAUCCCUGGCACCACCUAAAAAUAAAAACAAAAUUAAAGGUAUUGUGUCCAUGUACAACUUAAAAAAAAAAAAAAGGCUGGGGAUGUGGCUCAGUGAUUAAGCACCCCUGGGUUCAAUUCCCAGUAUCAAAACAAAAGGGUGGUGCUGGAGAUGUGUGGUAGAGUACCCCGUGGUUCUCAAUUCCCAGUACCAAAACAAAAACAAUGAGCAGUUAGGCUUUACUUACUAUGAUGGAAAAAUCAAGCAAGGAAGUAUUUCUGAGGACUGCGAAAACCUGAGGCUGAUAAUAAUAAUCAGAAUAUAAAUUGGUGCCAGCCACCUCUGAGGAAGUUGGGUAGCAGGUCUGUCUUUCAAUUGGGGUUGAACCCAUGGGUCCGUUUAACAC
This 1830-nucleotide long non-coding RNA is filed under the name Marmota monax (woodchuck). Lineage: Eukaryota; Metazoa; Chordata; Mammalia; Rodentia; Sciuridae. The record is from RNAcentral.